Passer domesticus (house sparrow) is the source of this 1947-nucleotide long non-coding RNA. RefSeq lists it as uncharacterized. The record is from RefSeq and is a predicted model, not a curated record. Lineage: Eukaryota; Metazoa; Chordata; Aves; Passeriformes; Passeridae. The transcript has 4 exons.
UCUGUCCUCUCAGGUUUUGAAUAUCUUGAGGAAUGCACAGCCUCUCUGGACAACCUCUUCCAGCAUUGGACUUGUUUAUUCUUAUGAUAAUAUGAAAUUUUGCUGCUUUUCAAUUUAUAUCUCUUGCCUUUUGUACUGUCAGUUGGCACCACUGAGAAGGAUCUGGCUCCCACUUAUUCAUUCACUCCCAUCAAGUAUUGAUACACAUUGGGAAGACUUGUACCAGCCCCUUGCUGGGCCACCCACCAAACCUUCUUCUGCAAAGUGAACUGUCCUAUAUAUCUCAGAUCCCCUUUCAUGAAAGGUGCUCCAGUCCCAUAAAUAUCUUUCUGUUCCUGUACUAGAUUGUCCCCAGUAUGUACAUGACUCUUCUGCCAGAGAGCCCACAGCUGGACACUCUCAAUAGUGCUAAGCAGAGGAGAAGAAUCUCCUCUUUUUAUCUGCUAGAGAUAUUUUUCCUGCUUAGGAUGCUUGUAGCCCUUUUUUUCCACUCAUUGGACACUUGUGAUUCAUGGUCAAUUCAUGGUCCACCAGGAACACUAGAUUCUUUCUUGAAAAGCUCUUUUGCAGACAAUCAAGCUCCACAGUUUACUGGUGUGUGGAUUUAUUCCUCUUCAGGUACAGAACACUUUAGCAGGCACAGGGCCUGCAAGGCCUUGGCGAUCAGAGGCCUGAAGCUAGGAAAUGCCGAGUCAGCAUGACUGGGCCUUACAAGCCCCUCUCUUCCUCCUUUCGGACCCUGCUUAUCUCCCUGUAAAUCCAUAGGUCACUUUCCCCUGACCCUUACUAUUGGACAGUUUUCAAAACCCCUGUAGGGUAUAAAAACCCCUAAUUCUGCCCGGUUCGGCAGAAGAGCUGUCACUGGAUCCUUCGCGGAGCCCCGAAUAAAAGAAUCCUGCAGAACCCAUACAGCACUUCUCAUAUCUCCCUCUCUGCGUCUGCUGCCGCAGCACCUAGCAAGCUAAAGAGCUGGAGAUCACUAAAGAGCUGAUUAUCACUAAGAGCUGCAAAUCACUAUAGCUUGCCUAGGCUGCCUGAGCCCCCCGCUGAGCUAUCCUGGCCGGCGUCCGGCAUUCCCUGCUGGGCUCCUGCCCUGAGGGUAAUGACCCGGCCACAGAACAUAAAACUUUUGUCAGCUUCAUGGGGUUCGUCUUUACCCCUUUCUUCAGCUUUUUAAGAUUCCUCUGAAUGGAAGUCCAACAGUUUGAGCUUCUCCUUGACAUUUUAUUUUCAUCUACAAACUAGCUAAAGGAAUAUAACUUUCAUCUUGCAAAAAGGAUUCCGACUUCUAAUCUUCAAAUGUCUUUAGUGAAUUCCAAAUUCUCUUCUGUGAUCCUGAUGUCAGAGGAAAGUGAUAAAAUUGAAAAUUUGGAAGUCAAUUUUUUUGUAUGCUUCACACAACACAUUCUUCUAGGAAGACAAACAUGUGAACUGAACUUUAAGGUCCAGUAUGAAGACUGUCCCUUGCAGUUAUGCUUUGAAUACAGAACCCUCCACAGGAUAGGACAAAGGAAGGAAUGGAACGAGUGCAGCGAUCAACUUAAUGAAUUGUCUUUUUGAAUUAGCUGUUGCCUUUUAGCGGCAUAACCACAUACACUACACUUCCAGAUCCCUUUUUUUUGUUUGUUUGUUUGAAGCUCAUGUGCAUUUUUGACCUAGUCUGAUUCCAGAGGAAACAAUGUACUCUAGUCCCAUUGCUUUUUUCUGUGAAAGAAGACAUAGGGGGAGACAGCAAGGAAAGAAACUGCAAGGGUAUCACUUCAGAGCACAGAGAGGCAAAACAAAAGGUGGAGUGUCCAAAUGCUGCAUGUUCCUUGGUCUGGUAAAUUCACAUCUGAGCAGGCAAAGGUGUUGCUGCACUUAAGAGAACUGUAUGAGCUGCAGUAGUUUUCCAUGACUGCCCCUAUCUUAUCUUAUCUUACAUGUGAAAUAAAAUGCGUAAGCUUA